CGAAUGGCGUAACGACUUCCCCACUGUCUCCAGCAUAGACUCAGUGAAAUUGAACUCUCCGUGAAGAUGCGGAGUUCCUGCGGUCAGACGGAAAGACCCCGUGAACCUUUACUACAGCUUCACAUUGGGUUUGGGUAUAGGAUGUGUAGGAUAGGUGGGAGACUACGAAGUUGUCACGCUAGUGAUGGUGGAGUCGUCCUUGAAAUACCACCCUUCCUAUACUUAGAUUCUAACUCUGUAAAGAGGACAUUGUGUGGUGGGUAGUUUGACUGGGGUGGUCGCCUCC
Molecule: ribosomal RNA, 286 nt
Filed under: Oxyrrhis marina
Lineage: Eukaryota; Dinophyceae; Oxyrrhinales; Oxyrrhinaceae
Description: partial Bacterial large subunit ribosomal RNA
Rfam family: Bacterial large subunit ribosomal RNA
Source: RNAcentral